CCUACGGGAGGCAGCAGUGAGGAAUAUUGGGCAAUGGACGGAAGUCUGACCCAGCCAUGCCGCGUGCAGGAUGACUGCCCUAUGGGUUGUAAACUGCUUUUAUACAGGAAGAAACCUUUCCACGUGUGGGAAGCUGACGGUACUGUAAGAAUAAGCACCGGCUAACUCCGUGCCAGCAGCCGCGGUAAUA
Molecule: ribosomal RNA, 190 nt
Filed under: uncultured Flavobacterium sp.
Lineage: Bacteria; Pseudomonadati; Bacteroidota; Flavobacteriia; Flavobacteriales; Flavobacteriaceae
Description: partial 16S ribosomal RNA
Rfam family: Bacterial small subunit ribosomal RNA
Source: RNAcentral